AGGAUUCCCCUAGUAACUGCGAGUGAAGCGGGAAAAGCUCAAAUUUGAAAUCUGGCGGUCUUUGGCCCGUCCGAGUUGUAACCUGGAGGAGCGCUUUCCGCGCCGGACCGUGUACAAGUCUCCUGGAACGGAGCGUCAUAGAGGGUGAGAAUCCCGUCCAUGACACGGACGCCCGGUGCUUUGUGAUUGCGCCCCCGAAGAGUCGCGUUGUUUGGGAAUGCAGCGCAAAAUGGGUGGUAAAUUCCAUCUAAAGCUAAAUAUUGGCGAGAGACCGAUAGCGAACAAGUACCGUGAGGGAAAGAUGAAAAGCACUUUGGAAAGAGAGUUAAACAGUACGUGAAAUUGUUGAAAGGGAAACGCUUGAAGUCAGUCGCGUCGCACGGAACUCAGCCUGGCCUUGGCCUGGUGUACUUUCCGUGCGACGGGUCAACAUCAAUUUCGGGCGGCGGACAAGGGCGAGGGGAAUGUAGCGUCGCUUCGGCGGCGUGUUAUAGCCCCUUGUCGUAUACGCCGUGCGGGAUUGAGGACCGCAGCGCGCCCUUGUGGCCGGGGUUCGCCCACGUCACGCGCUUAGGAUGUUGGCAUAAUGGCUUUAAGCGACCCGUCUUGAAACACGGACCAAGGAGUCUAACAUGCUUGCGAGUGUUCGGGUGGAAAACCCUUGCGCGGAAUGAAAGUGAAAGUUGGGAGCCUCCGCGAGGGGGUGCACCGACGCCCGGCCCUGAAGUUCUCUGACGGUGCUGCGGUAGAGCAGGUGUGUUGGGACCCGAAAGAUGGUGAACUAUGCCUGAAUAGGGCGAAGCCAGAGGAAACUCUGGUGGAGGCUCGUAGCGAUUCUGACGUG
RNAcentral lists this ribosomal RNA (844 nucleotides) under Phellinotus piptadeniae. Its description in RNAcentral is "LSU rRNA". It matches the Rfam family "Eukaryotic large subunit ribosomal RNA", at positions 71 to 893 of the family's 3401-position model. The record is from RNAcentral. Lineage: Eukaryota; Fungi; Basidiomycota; Agaricomycetes; Hymenochaetales; Hymenochaetaceae.